CCUACGGGAGGCAGCAGUGAGGAAUAUUGGUCAAUGGACGAGAGUCUGAACCAGCCAAGUCGCGUGAAGGAUGACUGCCCUAUGGUUUGUAAACUUCUUUUGUGAAGGAAUAAAACGAGUCACGUGUGCCUUUUUGCAUGUACUUUAUGCAUAAGGAUCGGCUAACUCCGUGCCAGCAGCCGCGGUAAUACGGAGGAGCCGAGCGUUGUCCGGAUUUAUUGGGUGGAAAGGGAGCGUAGAUGGGUUGUUAAGUCAGUUGUGAAAGUUUGCGGCUCAACCGUAAAAUUGCAAUUGAUACUGGCAGGCUUGAGUAUAGUUGAGGUAGGCAGAAUUCGUGGUGUAGCGGUGAAAUGCUUAGAGAUCACGAAGAAUCCCGAUUGCGAAGGCAGCUUACUAAACUGUGACUGACAUUGAUGCGCGAAAGUGUGGGUAUCAAACAGGAUUAGAUACCCUUGUAGUC
Molecule: ribosomal RNA, 460 nt
Filed under: uncultured bacterium
Lineage: Bacteria
Description: partial 16S ribosomal RNA
Rfam family: Bacterial small subunit ribosomal RNA
Source: RNAcentral